AUGCCAUGGUGUGCGAAUUAUCUUUGCAAAGCCUUGUAUCUCUGCCAUGCCUUAUAGAGAGACUCCAAUUCAUGUUGCUGAAAAUGGAAUAUCUCAUUUCUGAACUU
This is a small nucleolar RNA of Beta vulgaris subsp. vulgaris (sugar beet), 107 nucleotides long. Lineage: Eukaryota; Viridiplantae; Streptophyta; Magnoliopsida; Caryophyllales; Amaranthaceae. The record is from RefSeq and is a predicted model, not a curated record.